This is a long non-coding RNA of Pseudopipra pipra, 3220 nucleotides long. RefSeq lists it as uncharacterized. The transcript is spliced from 3 exons. Lineage: Eukaryota; Metazoa; Chordata; Aves; Passeriformes; Pipridae. The record is from RefSeq and is a predicted model, not a curated record.
GCAAUUCUGGGAGUGAGGGGUUGGCCCGCCCGCCAUCAGCCAAUGGACUCGCGAGGUCCGCGCUCUUCGGCCAAUGAGAAGCGCAGGAGGCGGGUCCAUGAGCGCAGAUGUUGUAAACAACCCUGAGGGCGCUUACACGGCGUCCGGCGGUCUGUGAGGGAGGGAGGCGGGGCGGAGUCACCACCAGCCCGGCAGUCAGUGAGAGUCUGUUCAGAAUCGCAAGGUCACAGGAUGAAUAGGUGGGAAAAGACCUCUGAGAUCACCCAGUCCGACCUGUGACCGAACACCACCGUGUCAACCAGACCAUGGCACUGAGCGCCACGGCCAGUCCGUCCGUUAACACCUCGAGGGAGCGUGACUCCACCGCCUCCCUGGGCAGCCCCUUCCAAUGUCUGAUCACCCUUUCCAUGAGGAAGUUACUCCUAAUGUCCAACCUAAACCGCCCCUGGCACAGCUUAAGGCUGUGUCCUCUCGUCUUAUUGCUGGGAGACGAGCCCGACACCCCCCGGCUACAGCCUCCUUUCAGGGAGUUGGAGAGAGUGAUAAGGUCAUCCCCGAGCCUCCUUUGCUUCAGGCUGAUUCUCCCCAGCUCCCUCAGCUACUUCUUAUAGGACUUGUGCUCCAGACCCUUCCCCAGCUCCACUGCCCUUCUCUGGACAUGCUCCAGCACCUCAAUGUCUUUCCUGGAGUGAGGGGCCCAGAACUGGACACAGCACUCGAGGUGCGGCCUCACCAGUGCCGAGUACUGGGGGAGCUGAUCCAGCUGGUCACAGUGUUCCUGAUCCAGGCCAGGAUGCCACUGGCCUUCUUGGCCCCCUGGGCACACGCUGGCUCGUGUCCAGCUGCUGUGGACCAGCACCCCCCAGGCCUGUUCCACCGGGCCGCUUUCCAGCCGCUCUGUCCCCAGCCUGCAGCGCUCCGUGGGGUUGUUGUGACCGAAGUGUUGGUCCUGUCGAACCUCGCAGCGCUGGCCUGAGCCCGCAGAAUUCCCUGGCAAUCAAUCACGUGUCGAUGGGGCGGCAGGAUUGGCUCCCCCGGUCCAUCGGGACAGGGAUCCCGUCGGGCUGCGGGGGGCGCUGGCGGGACGCGGCUCCGGCGGCUCCCGGCGGCGGUUCCCGGCCCUUCUCGGCGGCUCCCGGCGGUUCCCGGCGGCUGGAUCAGAGCCAGCCCCGCACGAAAGCGCUGCCCACCCACCCUCCGGCACCCACCGCCCGGAGCCGGUCCGUCCUGCGGGGUCCGGGUGACCCGGGAUAGCCCAUGGCACGGUGCCCCGCAGCAGUCAGAUCCUGGAAGUGUUCAAAAAAACCCACGUGGAUAUGGCACUUGAGGACGUGGUUUAGCGGUGCACGCGGCAGUGCUGGGGCACGGACAGAGAUUCCUGCCUCUCCUCUGGAUCCCGGACACACAGAGCCUUCUGCUGCUGCCUCCUCCUGGAAAAAAAAAGAAAAAGAAAAAGAAAAAGGGGUGCUCUGAACCCCUGAUGUGCAGACAUUCAGCUCAGUUGAGAAUUGAGUUGCUUGAGUGGGAACAGGAAGGGUUGAGACCCGUUUUCAGGCAGUCGAAAGCCCAACAUAGUAACAGCUGCUGGGUAAUAGUAUGAAUUCUGGGAAAUCAUGUGGAUAGCAGCAGCCAAAGCCAGACAGAGAGGUGGACAGAAUGAUUUCAGAUACUGGCAUUGACAGGUGAGCUCUACCAAACCCUCGACAAAUGCCUUGACAAAGUACAGAAUUUCAAUCUGUCUUUCAGGGACCCACAGCUCCCUCCACCCGUUGCUCAUCCACCACUCUGACAAACAUACCUUCCCAGAUUUGGCAGCUACGCAGACACACCCUAAUGAGGUUGCUGUGUGGGCACAAAUGCCAGUCAAAGCUUCAGAUGCCCUCAGAAACUUUUUUUACUAGCUAGUCUCUGAAUAAAGAAUUGCCACAUGCCUACAUCUCCUCUCUGUCGCUCACUCUAGCACCCUGUGGAGGUUCCACUGCCCAUCCUCUAUAGCUAAAAUGGAGGAGGCCAGCAAAUAUUAGAAGUGGUGUUUCUGAGCAGGGCAGAACUACUUAUGCUGCCUGUUUUGCAGGAAUGCCAGGAUAGAGGAGUUCCUUGCACCUCUCCCCCACGUGGUGGCCGUAGCAGGAGUACCAGUUCCUUUGGCCCGAAGCAAACUUGCUGGUUUGGCCUCACAAGUCUUGAAAAUAAUGAGCUGGGAAGCUGCAAAAUCCAGGCAGCCACAGUUGCAACAUUUUCUCAGUCCAAUGAAGUUUCCCCCUACAGCCCCUUUUAACGGCACUUGUGGUGAUGUGGAUGGGGUUUUUUUCCUCCAAAGCAGAACAAAUGUAGCAACUUUUUUUUUUUUUUUUUGCAUAUAAGAACAAGUUAGUCUCCUAGACACUGCUGUAUCCCAGAAAGUCUCUAAGCAGAGAUGUACCCAGGGAUGUAGAGAGUCAUACUCACAGGUACCUCACAUUCAUACUUGCAUAUAUGCAUUGUGUAAAACACCCAGUUUCUCAGUAUAACCUCCCUUAAUAACGUUUGUUACAAAGUCCUGGCAGUCGAAACAUGUGGGUUGUUUGCUCAGAGUUUCUGGUGUUUUUCAGUCCAGAAAAAAGAAAGAGGAGAAUCAAGCCACACUUCAUGUCUUCCUGUCUGGAGAAAAAUAUGCACCUUAUUUCUGUGCUUUCUCUCCUUGCUCCUGAAGGAAGAAAGAUUUAGCAUUAAAAAACUGAAUACUGUGUACCGUGCUCAGAGCAGUGGCAUUUGGGAAUCCUACUGGCAGAGAAGAUUUGCUCUGUGGCAAGAUCCUUGGGAGCAGAAAUAGAGUGAAGAAUUGUGGUGGGGCAGCUGCAACUACCUUUGCUUUAUUGAUAUGGGUAAAGUGAUACUGGUUCUGUCUGGCGGUUUCCUUUUCUGUAGAACUAAGCAAACAGUUUCCUCUGCAGAGUACAACCCCUGAAAGCAAAAAGAAAAUACUGAAAGAGAAGGUGAACAGCAUGAAGCAGCCAUUGGAGGUGUGAUUUUGACAGUCUGUUACAUGACAGAAAUCUUGAAAACAACACUUGUGACCCAUGUCCAGUGAAAUCCCUGAGCUUGAAAUCCUCCUUCUGUCCUGAGAGCAAGCAAAGCACGGGCAGGAGAAGAAUCCUGCCCUCCCUGCUUCUCAAUUCAGUUCCUAUUCCCUCUCCUGACCUAUCAUUGUCAGGACUUGAAGAAAUGAAUAGGAUUUCCA